Molecule: ribosomal RNA, 495 nt
Filed under: uncultured bacterium
Lineage: Bacteria
Description: partial 16S ribosomal RNA
Rfam family: Bacterial small subunit ribosomal RNA
Source: RNAcentral
GACGAACGCUGGCGGCGUGCCUAAUACAUGCAAGUAGAACGCUGAAGGAGGAGCUUGCUUCUCUGGAUGAGUUGCGAACGGGUGAGUAACGCGUAGGUAACCUGCCUGGUAGCGGGGGAUAACUAUUGGAAACGAUAGCUAAUACCGCAUAAGAGUAGAUGUUGCAUGACAUUUGCUUAAAAGGUGCAAUUGCAUCACUACCAGAUGGACCUGCGUUGUAUUAGCUAGUUGGUGGGGUAACGGCUUACCAAGGCGACGAUACAUAGCCGACCUGAGAGGGUGAUAGGCCACACUGGGACUGAGACACGGCCCAGACUCCUACGGGAGGCAGCAGUAGGGAAUCUUCGGCAAUGGACGGAAGUCUGACCGAGCAACGCCGCGUGAGUGAAGAAGGUUUUCGGAUCGUAAAGCUCUGUUGUAAGAGAAGAACGAGGGGGAGAGUGGAAAGUUCACACUGUGACGGUAUCUUACCAGAAAGGGACGGCUAACUACGUG